Molecule: ribosomal RNA, 301 nt
Filed under: uncultured bacterium
Lineage: Bacteria
Description: partial 16S ribosomal RNA
Rfam family: Bacterial small subunit ribosomal RNA
Source: RNAcentral
CAGUAGCCGCGGUAAUACAGAGGGUGCGAGCGUUAAUCGGAUUUACUGGGCGUAAAGCGUGCGUAGGCGGCUUCUUAAGUCGGAUGUGAAAUCCCUGAGCUUAACUUAGGAAUUGCAUUCGAUACUGGGAAGCUAGAGUAUGGGAGAGGAUGGUAGAAUUCCAGGUGUAGCGGUGAAAUGCGUAGAGAUCUGGAGGAAUACCGAUGGCGAAGGCAGCCAUCUGGCCUAAUACUGACGCUGAGGUACGAAAGCAUGGGGAGCAAACAGGAUUAGAGACCCGAGUAGUCCCUGUCUCUUAUAA